GUGAGGAAUUUUGCGCAAUGGGGGCAACCCUGACGCAGCGACGCCGCGUGGAGGACGAAGUCUUUCGGGAUGUAAACUCCUGUCAGUGGGGACGAUAAUGACGGUACCCACAGAGGAAGCACCGGCUAACUCCGUGCCAGCAGCCGCGGUAAGACGGAGGGUGCAAGCGUUGUUCGGAAUUACUGGGCGUAAAGCGUAUGUAGGCGGCAAGUUAAGUUCAAUGUUAAAGCCCACGGCUCAACCGAGGAGAUGCAUUGAAUACUGGCUAGCUAGAGGGUGUUAGAGGAAGACGGAAUUCCCAGUGUAGCGGUGAAAUGCGUAGAUAUUGGGAGGAACAUCGGUAGCGAAAGCGGUCUUCUGGGACAUACCUGACGCUGAGGUACGUAAGCGUGGGGAGCAAACGGGAUUAGAAACCCGUGUAGUCC
Molecule: ribosomal RNA, 425 nt
Filed under: uncultured bacterium
Lineage: Bacteria
Description: partial 16S ribosomal RNA
Rfam family: Bacterial small subunit ribosomal RNA
Source: RNAcentral